This is a long non-coding RNA of Mauremys mutica (yellowpond turtle), 746 nucleotides long. RefSeq lists it as uncharacterized. Lineage: Eukaryota; Metazoa; Chordata; Testudines; Geoemydidae. The record is from RefSeq and is a predicted model, not a curated record. The transcript is spliced from 5 exons.
UUAAAAAAAAGGAGGAGGUGUUAGGAUGAGUAGGAAACAACUGGUCCAGCUAAAUAAAAAGGAAGAAUUUGAGGAAAAACUAGUCAGAACAGUAAUAAAUCAUUCUAAGAAAUACUACUGCUGAUCAACUGAAAGUAAUCUAGGAUAAACUAAAGAGGCCUGAUGCCAGUCAUUAUUGAUAAGAAGGAAGGAUUGCAUUGGUUAGUGGUAAUCAGUCAAGAAGACAGAUUUUCAUGCAUAAAAUGCAAAGGGUCAAUAAGAGAAGGAACACCAUUUCAUUUUGAGGCUUGAAAACUAUUGACUGCAUCUGGUAUCCUAACAGAGGAAGACAACUCACUUGUGAGGACUGAGGCUUGAGGGAAAAAUGCUAUUUCAAGGAAAGAAGUUAGCUGGCCUUCAGUGAGGAUAGUCGUAACAUCAAAGGCAGUAUGUUUCCUCAGUGUAAGGCAGUCCCAUACUUAAUUGAACCAGGUACGCAUGGAAAGUGAGAUUCAGCCAGUGAAGAUGGUCAGCACAAGUGCUGCUGUGGAGAAGCAGUCAUCUCCUGACUGAAUUCCAGUGUGAUCAGAGGAAGAGGAGCAGAGAGGCAAACCCAGCACUGAGUUCUGUUAACAGAGCAAGUGGGGGCUGAGGUAGGUUUGCUGUCCUGUCUUAGGCCAAGAUCCUCAAAGGUGUUUAGGUACAUAACUCCCUUUGAGGAUCUGAGCCUGUGUCCUUCCAGAAGGAGAGUGAGAGAACAAGGGAGG